GAGGGUGUGGGGUUACAAAUAGUAAAUGGUCUGUUUGAGGAACAGGAAGGUCGUGUAGAGGAUGAUGAGAGGGAGAUGGAUGCUCUUGAGGCUAACCUGUUGAAGAGCGGUUUCGAUUUGGGGGCGGAAGAGGAUUUUCAAACUCUUUCGGAGGAAGAGGCUGAGAAAGCUUUGACCAAGGGAGAUGAGGUCCCUAUACAAGAAGAGGGUCUAGUGGAGAGUGAUACUAACGAGGGAGAAAGAAAGGGAGCAGGGGACGGACCGUCGAAGCAAGGGAAUCGAAAGCGACUAUUUAAGCCUACUUCGAGCACUGCAGGAAGCACCAAGAUGCGCAUUGCUAAUGCUCUGGUUAAGCGUGCUGCUUCCAAGGGAGCUACGCGUUACGGAGACAACAGCAAGCUACCGGAGACCAAGGGAACUUCAAACCCGAAAGCGCCAAAUCAAAAAUCCUAAGUUUUAUGGAUCAGGUUUUAUUAGCACUUCAUCUAUGCAAGGAAGGUGGGGUUUGCGGGAAAGAAGUUUUAAUGUAUUCUGUGGGAACCAAAAUUCGCACUGUCGAUUUCCGUUUAAAUUAGGAAAGUUAGGAAACUCUUUGGGUAUUGUCCUCUUUGCUCCAGUCUAUGCCAUAAGGAGGAAAAGUGUUCUCUAUAUGUGAAGAACACAGUGAAGAGUCCAGAGAGGAAGCGGGAGAGCAAAGAGGAGAAUAGAGGAUGGUCUGACGGGGGGAAGCAUGAUGAGAGAGCCAGGAGUUACAAAGGAGUAGUUAUUAAUGAUAAUGUGGCUCCACAAAACAAGGACAGAAGAGGUCGGGAUUAUUAUGGAAAGGGCAAGGGGAAGAUGUAUGAGGGAUCAGAGGCAAAGUGGGUCAAGGCAGCAGAGAGAAGUAACACAAGAGGCGCUCAUCAUCACGGCAAACACAGAGGUGAUAGCGAGGGAUCAAGCCACAAAACUUAUAGAAGGGAGGAGGUACGAUCUGGUGAUCAGGAGACGCGUAUUAGGCCCUCUUCUGGUCAGACAAGAGCUCAACGGAAUCCCAUUGUCACACGAGAGGAGGCUAGAGAGGAAGGAGAGUUUAAGGUCUCUGAUGAGAGCUCGUUGAAUCCACCUUCUCAGGAGUUCCAGUUGGAGUUAGCUAGGACUCAAGCAGAGGGAACAAAGGUAGUCUCGGAUCCUACUUAUGAGGGUGUGGGGUUACAAAUAGUAAAUGGUCUGUUUGAGGAACAGGAAGGUCGUGUAGAGGAUGAUGAGAGGGAGAUGGAUGCUCUUGAGGCUAACCUGUUGAAGAGCGGUUUCGAUUUGGGGGCGGAAGAGGAUUUUCAAACUCUUUCGGAGGAAGAGGCUGAGAAAGCUUUGACCAAGGGAGAUGAGGUCCCUAUACAAGAAGAGGGUCUAGUGGAGAGUGAUACUAACAAGGGAGAAAGCAAGGGACCAGGGGAUGCACCGUCGAAGCAAGGGAAUCGAAAGCGACUAUUUAAGCCUACUUCGAGCACUGCAGGAAGCACCAAGAUGCGCAUUGCUAAUGCUCUGGUUAAGCGUGCUGCUUCCAAGGGAGCUACGCGUUACGGAG
Molecule: long non-coding RNA, 1567 nt
Filed under: Brassica napus (rape)
Lineage: Eukaryota; Viridiplantae; Streptophyta; Magnoliopsida; Brassicales; Brassicaceae
Description: long non-coding RNA (BNAP_LNC020054)
Source: RNAcentral